Molecule: unclassified non-coding RNA, 584 nt
Filed under: uncultured fungus
Lineage: Eukaryota; Fungi
Description: sequence contains ITS1, 5.8S rRNA gene and ITS2
Rfam family: 5.8S ribosomal RNA (bases 218-371)
Source: RNAcentral
CUUGGUCAUUUAGAGGAAGUAAAAGUCGUAACAAGGUCUCCGUUGGUGAACCAGCGGAGGGAUCAUUACCGAGUUUACAACUCCCAAACCCCUGUGAACAUACCUAUACGUUGCCUCGGCGGAUCAGCCCGCGCCCCGUAAAAAGGGACGGCCCGCCCGAGGACCCCUAAACUCUGUUUUUAGUGGAACUUCUGAGUAAAACAAACAAAUAAAUCAAAACUUUCAACAACGGAUCUCUUGGUUCUGGCAUCGAUGAAGAACGCAGCAAAAUGCGAUAAGUAAUGUGAAUUGCAGAAUUCAGUGUAUCAUCGAAUCUUUGAACGCACAUUGCGCCCGCCAGUAUUCUGGCGGGCAUGCCUGUUCGAGCGUCAUUUCAACCCUCAAGCUCAGCUUGGUGUUGGGACUCGCGGUAACCCGCGUUCCCCAAAUCGAUUGGCGGUCACGUCGAGCUUCCAUAGCGUAGUAAUCAUACACCUCGUUACUGGUAAUCGUCGCGGCCACGCCGUAAAACCCCAACUUCUGAAUGUUGACCUCGGAUCAGGUAGGAAUACCCGCUGAACUUAAGCAUAUCAAUAAGCGGAGGA